Molecule: long non-coding RNA, 264 nt
Filed under: Elaeis guineensis (African oil palm)
Lineage: Eukaryota; Viridiplantae; Streptophyta; Magnoliopsida; Arecales; Arecaceae
Description: long non-coding RNA (EGUI_LNC015134)
Source: RNAcentral
UAGCAAAGUGAGUAUCUGCUAGGACCAUACAACCCUUUUCUUUCUGGACUUUAAGCUAUUAUAACAAGCAUAGACAAGAUGCAUCUAAUUAGACAGGACAUGGUCUCAGGAGGCCAAUCGUAACGAAGGUUAGAAGUGACCUCUGAUAGUCUGUUCCAAAGGCGGGUCAAUUCUUGGCCCAACCCAAUCAUAUUUCACAAUGACAUCAAGAUUGAAACUAUGAUAAACACUCAUGCGAUUAGAUAUUUUAGCAGCACUAGGACU